Molecule: transfer RNA, 77 nt
Filed under: Dehalogenimonas lykanthroporepellens BL-DC-9
Lineage: Bacteria; Bacillati; Chloroflexota; Dehalococcoidia; Dehalococcoidales; Dehalococcoidaceae
Also listed under: 2 other names
Description: tRNA-Val (TAC) (tRNA-Val-TAC-1-1)
Rfam family: tRNA
About the family: Transfer RNA (tRNA) molecules are approximately 80 nucleotides in length. Their secondary structure includes four short double-helical elements and three loops (D, anti-codon, and T loops). Further hydrogen bonds mediate the characteristic L-shaped molecular structure. tRNAs have two regions of fundamental functional importance: the anti-codon, which is responsible for specific mRNA codon recognition, and the 3' end, to which the tRNAs corresponding amino acid is attached (by aminoacyl-tRNA synthetases). tRNAs cope with the degeneracy of the genetic code in two manners: having more than one tRNA (with a specific anti-codon) for a particular amino acid; and 'wobble' base-pairing, i.e. permitting non-standard base-pairing at the 3rd anti-codon position.
Source: RNAcentral
GGGCGGUUAGCUCAGUUGGUUAGAGCACCUGCUUUACACGCAGGGUGUCACAGGUUCGAGUCCUGUACUGCCCACCA